GAUGAACGCUGGCGGCGUGCCUAAUACAUGCAAGUCGAGCGAACGGACGAGAAGCUUGCUUCUCUGAUGUUAGCGGCGGACGGGUGAGUAACACGUGGAUAACCUACCUAUAAGACUGGGAUAACUUCGGGAAACCGGAGCUAAUACCGGAUAAUAUUUUGAACCGCAUGGUUCAAAAGUGAAAGACGGUCUUGCUGUCACUUAUAGAUGGAUCCGCGCUGCAUUAGCUAGUUGGUAAGGUAACGGCUUACCAAGGCAACGAUGCAUAGCCGACCUGAGAGGGUGGUCGGCCACACUGGAACUGAGACACGGUCCAGACUCCUACGGGAGGCAGCAGUAGGGAAUCUUCCGCAAUGGGCGAAAGCCUGACGGAGCAACGCCGCGUGAGUGAUGAAGGUCUUCGGAUCGUAAAACUCUGUUAUUAGGGAAGAACAUAUGUGUAAGUAACUGUGCACAUCUUGACGGUACCUAGUCAGAAAGCCACGGCUAACUACGUG
Molecule: ribosomal RNA, 497 nt
Filed under: uncultured bacterium
Lineage: Bacteria
Description: partial 16S ribosomal RNA
Rfam family: Bacterial small subunit ribosomal RNA
Source: RNAcentral